GGUCCCGAAUGCGCUGCUUACCUCGUUUGAAAAUUCCCCCCUUAGACCAACUCCGCCUCACUGCGCCCCGCUGCCAAUCACAUAACCCUUGCACCGCUCCCUUCGCACCCCGGUUAGCCAAUCCACUCCAGGUCUGAUUUUACGAUCUCCCGCUGAUGUUAAGACUAUCUUCGAACCCCCAGAAGACCCCUGCCUUCAGCCAUAUCAACAACUGGAACCGCUCAGACUGCUUGCGACUUCGCAUAGGGAGCGGCCGAUUUCAACAGCAACUUGCGUCUCUUUCCUUAUCCGCAUAUCAUUCGACUCUGAGAUAAACCUGCUCAACUCCUCUUUUUUUGAGUCUCUCGAUCAAAUUGAUAUCUCUGACUUGGACACCUUUAUUGGUACGAGUUCCCCGAAUUCUUCACCACCAGUGCUUGUGCGAUCCACAGGAAAGAAUAUUCGUCUCUCCACACGGGACAGAGAGUAUUUGCUCUCUACGCUAGAUCGCCCUGCUUCAUCUGGCCCCAGUUCCAUUCCCGUCGGAGCUUGUUCUCUCCCGCAACCCUCUGGGAAAAACUUGCGCCUGUCCGCCGGGGACAGACCCAGAUGUGUUAACCUGAUCCCUGCGAAACACCAGCUCUGCGUGGAUUUUGACCGCGAGUGACCGGAUGUUGUUUCCGGCCUGAGGUUGCCUGAAAUGCCGUGAGGCUCGUUUGAAAGAUUGCGCCCGAGACCAACUCCGCCUCCAAGGCAUGCCUACCUUUAGCUGCCACCAGUGAGAUAUCAGAGCCGGGCUCCACAUAUCCAAUCAGGAGCACGAGCAAGACAGCUUUUGCAGACUCUCCAGAAAUAUACAAGUCCUUACCAACUGCUCUGCAACCCAGUGUUUCUGGUCCCCUCACUAACAUCGCUUUUUGAGAUAUUUUUUAUGAACCACCAAAAAAGCAAUUUUACCCCACAGACUGGGUCUGAGGGCAGCAGCGGGGACAAAUGAUUGAAGCGACGGACAUUUCAUGGCUGGUCUUGCAUAAUCGUGAGUUAUUAUGUCAUAUGGUGAUAAGUACAUAGUUUUGCAAGAGGCAUACAAGCACUGUGGAAAAAGUAAUCAUAAAACUGUUUUUGUGAACACCCUACGUUAUGCUUUAAAAAAUGUGAUACAUGUAAUGUGAUCAUCAAAGAACAUGAUUUUUUUUAAAAAAAACUUUUAUUCUUAUGCUUUUAAAGUAUGUCAGAUUAUCUUAAAACACUUAUUUGUAUGUUAUAAUGUUUUUCUUACACCAUGUGUAAUUUUUAUAGACACCUUAUUCAUUGUAUCAAUGUGUAAUUAUGUAUCUUUUGAUAAAUAAAUAAAAUAUUUAAUCUUG
Molecule: long non-coding RNA, 1346 nt
Organism: Astatotilapia calliptera (eastern happy)
Lineage: Eukaryota; Metazoa; Chordata; Actinopteri; Cichliformes; Cichlidae
Source: Ensembl